Long non-coding RNA from Camelus dromedarius (Arabian camel), 1403 nucleotides. RefSeq lists it as uncharacterized. Lineage: Eukaryota; Metazoa; Chordata; Mammalia; Artiodactyla; Camelidae. The record is from RefSeq and is a predicted model, not a curated record. The transcript is spliced from 3 exons.
GGGGAGGAGGGAUGCGGGGCGGGAGUCGCGGGGGCUGAGGCCGCGGCGACUGGACAGUGACCCGAAGGACCCAGGCUGGCAGGAGCGAGAGAGAAGCGCGGGAGGUGGGAACCAACAGAGGCUGACCUUGCUCGGGAGAGCGAGAGGUGCUGAGGUCCUAGAAACACUGUCUUAACCACCCACUUCUGCCGCCGGAGAGUGAAGGCAACCAUGGAUAAUAUGCACACAAAUGGGUGGGGUGCACACACUCCCCAGCUCACACCCCACGGAGGCUCUGAACAGCAGGAGCGCUGCUGCCACCUGGUGGCCACCCGUGGUACUGCAUGCAGCUUCCGGGUCAGCAGGAACCUACCUUGGGCAGGUGGGGCCCCACCGCACUCGAUGCUGCAGUCCAGGUCUGUUUUCUUCACCACGACCAGGCCCGACAGCUGGGGCCUGCUACCAAGGGUGCCCACGCUGCGCUCCCAGCUCUCUGCCUUCUUCUUGGCUUUUGGGGCCUGCAGGUGGUGGUGGUGGGGAAUGACUCAGGGGUCUGUCCCAGAUCCCACCCCUUCUCUGGCCUCCCUGCUCCUAGUACCCAGCUGAGCCAGGAGAUUUACCAUUCCCAUUUCCCCUGCUGUGCUGACCAACUCUCUCCCCUGCUCUAAACUCCUCUGUGGCUCCCCAUUGCCCUAAGCUUGGCACUCAAGGUGUCUGCCCAUUUUCUACGGCACACACCCUGCACUUACACUUCCUAAAUCACACCGUGGCUGCUCACCUCCACGCUUCUACCCACGCCAUUCCCUUCACCUGGAAUGCCCCCUUUGCUUCUAGUUCACUUGGUGAACCCCUACUCAUCCUUCAAUACCCAACGCAAGUAUCUGCUCUCCUGGGAAGCCUUUCCCCGUAGUUCAAGUAAGUGCUGCAUGUCUGUGACCACAGUGCCCUCUACUGCCUUAUUAACUGCCUCCUCAACCACGCGGUGGAGUGCUGUCUUGUUCACUGCUAGGUCUGUAUUAGGUGCUCAACAUGUUCUAAGGAAUGAUGGAAGAUGCAGGAACCCACACUGGGAACUAGUUAGGGGGAAGCAGAAAGAGACUCAGCCCCACCUCCAGCUCUUUUAUCUCACCAGGAGGGACCCCUUGCAUCUGUUUGAUGUUUAAAUAGAGGAACUGGAAACCACUGGGUACAGGAGGCCGUCAGAGCCAGGAGCUGGGGGUGCAGGGGAGCUCACCACAGGGGCCAACGAGGGUGGGUGAGCAAGCAGAUGACAAGGACACAGUCAUCAGACCAGUGGUGUGAAAGAAAGAAGUCAGGGUGGUGUGACAGUGUACAGGGGGGCGGCCACUGCUGCUAAGCUGGUCAGCAGAGGUUUCAUCAGAGAGGUGCCCUUGUGCUGAGGUCAGACGAGGAGAUGCAAGGGA